RNAcentral lists this ribosomal RNA (443 nucleotides) under uncultured bacterium. Its description in RNAcentral is "partial 16S ribosomal RNA". It matches the Rfam family "Bacterial small subunit ribosomal RNA", at positions 338 to 795 of the family's 1533-position model. The record is from RNAcentral.
CCUACGGGUGGCUGCAGUGGGGAAUAUUGGGCAAUGGGCGCAAGCCUGACCCAGCAACGCCGCGUGAAGGAAGAAGGCUUUCGGGUUGUAAACUUCUUUUCUCAGGGACGAAGAAAGUGACGGUACUUGAGGAAUAAGCCACGGUUAACUACGUGCCACCAGUCGCGGUAAUCCGGAGGUGGCAAGCGUUAUCCGGAUUCAUUGGGUGUGAAGGGCGUGUGGGCGGGAGCGCAAGGCAGAUGUGAAAACACAGGGAUCAACCCAGCGCGUGCAUUUGAAACUGCGUUUCUUGAGUGCUGGAGAGGCACUCGGAAUUCGGGGUGUAGCGGUGAAAUGCGUAGAUAUACGGAGGAACACCAGUGGCGAAGGCAGAUUACUGGACAGUAACUGACGCUGAGGCGCGAAAGCGUGGGGAGCAAACAGGAUUAGAUACCCCUGUAGUC